GUUUUCUUAACUAGAGUUCAGUUGAACAAAAACAGCGAUGAAGAUACAAUUUAUUGCACUUUUUCUUGUCCUCAGUUUAAUGUUGAUGGUAGCCGAGGGAAGACCUAAAUCCUAUCUCAUUGAAACUCUAGAUGAACCCCAGCAGGCACCAGGGAAAGGAUAUUUACAGACUGCGGCUCCUGAGAUAAAACCUAAUCCUGGAUAUAAGAAGAAGGAUGGCGAUUAUAUAUUCGAUCCAUGAACAUUAUAGAAAAUAUGAAAUAUUAAUUAUUUAAAAAUAAACGCAUCUUUUUUGCCUAAGACUGA
Long non-coding RNA from Eurytemora carolleeae, 306 nucleotides. RefSeq lists it as uncharacterized. The record is from RefSeq and is a predicted model, not a curated record. The transcript is spliced from 2 exons. Lineage: Eukaryota; Metazoa; Arthropoda; Copepoda; Calanoida; Temoridae.